AUAAAAGCAGGCUGCCCCCAAGCCAGCAGUAGCAAAGCUGUCCGUUUUGGUUUCUCACCGUGGAAGCUUUGUUCUUUUGGUCUUUUGUAAUAGGUCUUGCUGUUGCUCAGUGUUUGGGUCUACAUUACUUUUGGAGCUGUGGCACUCCGCGUGAAGGCUUGCAGCUUCACCCUUGAAGCCAGUGAGACCAUGAACCCACCAGGAGGAGUGAAGGCUGUCUUGUCUUAAGUAGUCCUACCGGCUGUAACGGUUGUUGUGAAAGUCUGUAUCCUCACUCGUGAGCCAGCAAGACCAUGAAUCAACUAGGAGGAAGAAACUCCGAACAUAUGCGAACAUCAGGAGGAACAAACUCUGGAUACGCUGCUUUUAAAAGUUGUAAUGCUCACUGAGCAGGUUUGCGGCUUCAUUCUUGAAGUCAGUGAGACCAAGAACCCACCAAUUCUGGACACAAAAUCUGUUUGCCUGUUUAGAGGCAUACUACGGGGUUACAUUAGAAGCCCACCGAGAUAAUCCAAUACAAUCUUCUGAUCUCAAAAUCCUUCACUUAAUGACAUCUUUGGCAACUUGAAAUAAUAAUCACAGGUGUCUGACUUUUAAGGUGAGAGAACUAAGUUGUGUGACUCCAAAAGAGCAGAAACCAGGAACUGGAGAAUGGAGGACCAAAGAUCAGAGAACAAACGGUAAAGAAGGAUGUGUUUGCUCCCACUUCCACCAUGAUUGUAAGUUUCCUGAGGCCUCCCAAGCCAUGAUGAACUAGACGGAGUCUCACUCUACCGCCCAGGCUAGAGUGCAGUGGUGCAAUCUCGGCUUACUGCAACCUCCGCCUCCCGGGUUCAAGAAUUCUCCUGCC
RNAcentral lists this long non-coding RNA (850 nucleotides) under Homo sapiens (human). RNAcentral's name for it is "HSALNT0332776". Lineage: Eukaryota; Metazoa; Chordata; Mammalia; Primates; Hominidae. The record is from RNAcentral.